GAUGAACGCUGGCGGCGUGCUUAACACAUGCAAGUCGAGCGAAGCACUUACCAUUGACUCUUCGGAAGAUUUGGUAAAUGACUGAGCGGCGGACGGGUGAGUAACGCGUGGGUAACCUGCCUCAUACAGGGGAAUAACAGUUAGAAAUGGCUGCUAAUGCCGCAUAAGCGCACAGUACCGCAUGGUACGGUGUGAAAAACCGAGGUGGUAUGAGAUGGACCCGCGUCUGAUUAGGUAGUUGGUGGGGUAACGGCCUACCAAGCCGACGAUCAGUAGCCGGCCUGAGAGGGUGAACGGCCACAUUGGGACUGAGACACGGCCCAGACUCCUACGGGAGGCAGCAGUGGGGAAUAUUGCACAAUGGGGGAAACCCUGAUGCAGCGACGCCGCGUGAAGGAAGAAGUAUCUCGGUAUGUAAACUUCUAUCAGCAGGG
This 434-nucleotide ribosomal RNA is filed under the name uncultured bacterium. RNAcentral's name for it is "bacterial SSU rRNA". It matches the Rfam family "Bacterial small subunit ribosomal RNA", at positions 28 to 444 of the family's 1533-position model. The record is from RNAcentral.